This is a long non-coding RNA of Macrobrachium nipponense, 324 nucleotides long. RefSeq lists it as uncharacterized. The transcript has 3 exons. The record is from RefSeq and is a predicted model, not a curated record. NCBI's taxonomy places the organism in Eukaryota, Metazoa, Arthropoda, Malacostraca, Decapoda, Palaemonidae.
GGUCCAGGAAAGCGCCUCACUACAAGCGGUGCAGUCCUGUUUACAUUCCAGCAAGAGACGAUUCUCCUUUGUUCAAGGAGAUGCUCCAUGAUUCCAGAAUGCUUGUCAUUCAAUUACGGAGGUCCCUCUCGUACAUGCGAGUUGCUCAACGCAACGCCCAUAGCAUCAGGUCUUUCCUCUACGUCCAACCAGACUGACUGGGACGUUUUCACUUAUACAAAGCCCAAAAAGUGUCCUCAAGGUGGUGUUCCAGUAACCUAUGACAUUCCUCCAAACCAACAAGGACCGACUGUGGAGGGAUAUACCUGUACUGCAAACGCCUGG